This 253-nucleotide ribosomal RNA is filed under the name uncultured bacterium. Its description in RNAcentral is "partial 16S ribosomal RNA". It matches the Rfam family "Bacterial small subunit ribosomal RNA", at positions 524 to 776 of the family's 1533-position model. The record is from RNAcentral.
UACGAAGGGGGCUAGCGUUGUUCGGAAUUACUGGGCGUAAAGCGCACGUAGGCGGACUACUAAGUCAGGGGUGAAAUCCCGGGGCUCAACCCCGGAACUGCCUUUGAUACUGAUAGUCUCGAGUCCGGAAGAGGUGAGUGGAAUUCCGAGUGUAGAGGUGAAAUUCGUAGAUAUUCGCAAGAACACCAGUGGCGAAGGCGGCUCACUGGUCCAUUACUGACGCUGAGGUGCGAAAGCGUGGGGAGCAAACAGG